UGAUCAUGAAGGUUUCCUUUGAGUUGAUGACCCGAUGAAGACUCAGACUUGGUUUCUUCAUUUCAGAUACUUUACUUCAUUGGAUUUGGGUUGUACGUCUGCGAAACGCUUCUCAGUAUCUGGGUUAUUCAGCGAGUAUACAUGUAUUUCUGAAGCAGAGGAAACGCCCACAAGGUGAAGCGUGAGGCUGCAAGAUACACCAUGAUGGCAGCAAUUUGAGUUUAACCUUCUGUAUUUGAUUCUAGUUCUAGAAAACCACUUUUUGUGUUUCUUAAUGUUCCUUGAGUGAUAGUUCAUGAUUCUAGUAAGAGGCUUCUUUUGUUAAUUGUACACUAUCCAGUUUCAAAACACAUACACAAUCUUUACUCGAAGAGAAUUUGCCCUACAA
Malus domestica (apple) is the source of this 388-nucleotide long non-coding RNA. RefSeq lists it as uncharacterized. The record is from RefSeq and is a predicted model, not a curated record. NCBI's taxonomy places the organism in Eukaryota, Viridiplantae, Streptophyta, Magnoliopsida, Rosales, Rosaceae.